CAAAUUUCUGCCCUAUCAACUUUCGAUGGUAGAGUAGUGGUCUACCAUGGUGUUCAACGGGUAACGGGGAAUUAGGGUUCUAUUCCGGAGAGGGAGCCUGAGAAACGGCUACCACAUCCAAGGAAGGCAGCAGGCGCGCAAAUUACCCAAUCCCGACACGGGGAGGUAGUGACAAUAAAUACUGAUACAGGGCUCUUUUGGGUCUUGUAAUUGGAAUGAGUACAAUUUAAAUCCCUUAACGAGGAACAAUUGGAGGGCAAGUCUGGUGCCAGCAGCCGCGGUAAUUCCAGCUCCAAUAGCGUAUAUUAAAGUUGUUGCAGUUAAAAAGCUCGUAGUUGAACCUUGGGCCUGGCUGGCCGGUCCGCUCACCGCGUGCACUGGUCCGGCCGGGCCUUUCCUUCUGGGGAGCCGCAUGCCCUUCACUGGGUGUGUCGGGGAACCAGGACUUUUACUUUGAAAAAAUUAGAGUGUUCAAAGCAGG
This 481-nucleotide ribosomal RNA is filed under the name uncultured fungus. Its description in RNAcentral is "SSU rRNA". It matches the Rfam family "Eukaryotic small subunit ribosomal RNA", at positions 300 to 784 of the family's 1831-position model. Lineage: Eukaryota; Fungi. The record is from RNAcentral.